Bombyx mandarina (wild silkworm) is the source of this 168-nucleotide small nuclear RNA. The record is from RefSeq and is a predicted model, not a curated record. Lineage: Eukaryota; Metazoa; Arthropoda; Insecta; Lepidoptera; Bombycidae.
AAUUUUAACUGGCGUAGGGGAUACGGUGAUCAUGCAGGCGGUUCUCCCAGGGCGAGCCUGCUCCAUUGCACUACGGAUUGGUUGACCCAUGCGAUUAUUUUUAUUUUUAUCAAUAAAAAAAUCAUAAUUAAUAAAAAAUGUAUACCCGAAUAAUUAUUUUCUUUAUAC